This 1183-nucleotide long non-coding RNA is filed under the name Sus scrofa (pig). RNAcentral's name for it is "lncRNA (ENSSSCG00015034379.1)". The record is from RNAcentral. Lineage: Eukaryota; Metazoa; Chordata; Mammalia; Artiodactyla; Suidae.
ACCACAGCUCUUGGCAAUGCCAGAUCCUUAACCCAAUGAGUGAGGCCAGGGAUUAAACCUGCAACCUCAUGGUUCCUAGUUGGAUUCGUUUCCACUGCACCCCAGCAGGAACUCCUCAAUUUCUUAUCUUAACAUGGGUGUGGCAAAAACAGGUACCUGUCCAACCAAGAGUCUUGCUCUCCUACGGACAGUGUAUAUUGUCACUGGACAGGGUGCCCUCCAGCGACACACACAGAGGGACUGCAUUCCCCUACCCUCCUUGCAUCUAGGAUCUAAGAGGGGUCAUGUAUCUACUUCUUGUAAAAUGAAUAGAAAUGAUGCAGGUCACUUCUGGGCCAAGGAAAUUACGAAGAAAAUGCUUCCUUACCCUCUCUUUUUCUUGCAGCUGCAAGCAGAGAUCUCCAUGGUCCUAGGAUUAGCAGCUCCAGAGGCAAGGACCCUAGGAUUUCUCGCCAAGCUAAGGAAUGCUGCCCACAUACCAGAAUAUCAGCACCAAAUUGUUUGCAUGUGCAGGGCCUCCAGCUGCUACAUCCUGAAGUGUGAUCCUGUCGCUGUCACAGUUGAAGGAAGACUGUGUCCCAGCAGUGCCUUGACUAAGAGGCCUCUCUCAGAGAUACGAGGGUGGCAUCGGAUGGCGCUCCAGCUACCACAAGUAAGGAGGGGUCUCACCACACCAGGCUAGGCCAGAACAUCCCCUCGAGUCUGCAGACAUUUCGGACAUAACCCCGUAUCCCACCAUAAAGAUAUUUAGAGAGUUCGCUGUGCUCAAGUGCAAAAUAAUCAGGUGAGGAUUUUGCACAGUCCCUAAGAAAUAGACAAUUCUCGUAUGUGGGGAAUGGACCUGACUUGCCAGAUGCCACCAAAACUCUAAUCAGACUUACAAUCUAGAAGGCUGAUUCCCUGCCCCCGACAAUGAGCUGCCUUGGACACCAGUUAAAUAGUCAUUCCUCAAAGGAUGUUUCCCUUACAACCUCCCUCCACCCCCCUCCAAAACCAUUACCCACAUUCAUAAAGAGAUUGCCUCCCCCUAACCCUUGACUAUUAUCUCAGCACAAGAAGAAAUCUAUGCUAAAAAUAGAAAUUACCAUGUUUCCUAAGUGGCUCCCUAAACAGCAGGGAGCCUGAGUCCACUCUCAAUGCUCCCGGCCAAUCUGUUGGUCAAUAAAAUUUACUUGACGUCUCA